Molecule: long non-coding RNA, 528 nt
Organism: Brassica oleracea var. oleracea
Lineage: Eukaryota; Viridiplantae; Streptophyta; Magnoliopsida; Brassicales; Brassicaceae
Exons: 3
Source: RefSeq, a predicted model, not a curated record
GAUUCCUGUGGACUACUUUUCUCAUGAGAAGGAUUUUGGUCUUUAUAUAUUGGACUGCCAGAUGUCUCAAAUCCCUCUGGAAAUGAACUUCGAUCACGUGGAUAUUGAGAUUCAUGUCAAAUAUCUUUUGGGUAUUCCUAUUGACAUAAAAGAAUGGGGUAUAAGAAUCACAGAGGAGGACUGUUCAUCGGCGGACAACCGACUUGGUAAUCCAAACACUUUAGCACAUGUUUUUGAAGGCAAUAUGACUAAUGAAGCUCGAGAAAGUCAAGAAUCUGAAGGCGAAGAUGAAGUAACAGAACCAAGCAGUAAACGAAUGCGGAUUUCGUGAAAUAAAAACUUAGAAUAGGGAGACAAGAAAACGAAUACGGAAAGCUGGAGGAAGCCAAAUGGUAUUGAUUACCGAGUAAUUAAAUUUCUACUCUCAACUUUCUCCUCUAUUUCUCUCGUUGUGCCUUUCCUUGUUGGCAGACGAUUUUUGGCAGCAGCUUUUGAAGACUUUGAGUCAGAUUCAGAGUAAUAACCACA